GCCAGGGUGGCUUAGUCGGUCAAGCAUCUAACUUCGGCUCAGGUUAUGAUCUCACUAUUUGUGGGUUCGAGCCCCGCAUCCGGCU
RNAcentral lists this transfer RNA (85 nucleotides) under Felis catus (domestic cat). It matches the Rfam family "tRNA". From Rfam's summary of the family: Transfer RNA (tRNA) molecules are approximately 80 nucleotides in length. Lineage: Eukaryota; Metazoa; Chordata; Mammalia; Carnivora; Felidae. The record is from Rfam by way of RNAcentral.